CUCUGCAGCAGAAGGUUGGAUCCAGGGGGAUGACUCCAGCUGAGGAAUCAUCCAGAAGCAGCAGCCAGAGGAGAAAUUGGCGGAAGUGGACCUGAGCCACCUGGAAAUCCUUCUAAGCAGACAUGAACAGUCUUCAGCUUUCUGCCUCCCACGUAACUGCCUUACCAAGGGAAAAGAAGUCACGUGUCACUGUCUACUGCCUUCAUGUCAUGGAAAGCGAGCGAGAGCGAUGGGACCUCAAGAACUACUGAUGCCAAGGAAAAGCUGUCCUACUGGGAGUGGAACAGUCACCACUCUCAAUGAGAUAAGUGUCUGUUUUGGUGAUUGCUCUGCUCCCGGCCCACCUUGCUCCUGGUAGGGACGCUCCAUUUGCUGGGGCUGUGUUUGUAAGAAAGUGUUUUUGACUAGCUGUGUUUAUGAGGGA
Molecule: long non-coding RNA, 424 nt
Organism: Mauremys mutica (yellowpond turtle)
Lineage: Eukaryota; Metazoa; Chordata; Testudines; Geoemydidae
Exons: 3
Source: RefSeq, a predicted model, not a curated record